CCGCUCACGCCCGGUCGUACUC
RNAcentral lists this small nuclear RNA (22 nucleotides) under Arabidopsis thaliana (thale cress). Its description in RNAcentral is "snRNA_12229". The record is from RNAcentral. Lineage: Eukaryota; Viridiplantae; Streptophyta; Magnoliopsida; Brassicales; Brassicaceae.